Molecule: ribosomal RNA, 339 nt
Filed under: Kryptoperidinium foliaceum
Lineage: Eukaryota; Dinophyceae; Peridiniales; Kryptoperidiniaceae
Description: partial Bacterial large subunit ribosomal RNA
Rfam family: Bacterial large subunit ribosomal RNA
Source: RNAcentral
UAAGGUAGCGAAAUUCCUUGUCGGGUAAGUUCCGACCUGCACGAAUGGUGCAACGAUCUGGACACUGUCUCGACCAUGAUCUCGGUGAAAUUGUAGUAUCGGUGAAGAUGCCGAUUACCCGCAGCGGGACGAAAAGACCCCGUGAACCUUUACUACAGCUUUGCACUGAACUUUGAACCUACUUGUGUAGGAUAGCUGGGAGACAUUGAAGCGAGGACGCCAGUUCUUGUGGAGUCAACCUUGAAAUACCAGCCUGGUAUGUUUGGAGUUCUAACCUCGGUCCAUUAUCUGGACUAGGGACAGUGUAUGGUGGGUAGUUUGACUGGGGCGGUCGCCUCC